This 484-nucleotide ribosomal RNA is filed under the name uncultured bacterium. RNAcentral describes it as "partial 16S ribosomal RNA". It matches the Rfam family "Bacterial small subunit ribosomal RNA", at positions 30 to 507 of the family's 1533-position model. The record is from RNAcentral.
AUUGAACGCUGGCGGCAGGCCUAACACAUGCGAGUCGAGCGGAUGAAGGGAGCUUGCUCCUGGAUUCAGCGGCGGACGGGUGAGUAAUGCCUAGGAAUCUGCCUGGUAGUGGGGGAUAACGUCCGGAAACGGGCGCUAAUACCGCAUACGUCCUGAGGGAGAAAGUGGGGGAUCUUCGGACCUCACGCUAUCAGAUGAGCCUAGGUCGGAUUAGCUAGUUGGUGGGGUAAAGGCCUACCAAGGCGACGAUCCGUAACUGGUCUGAGUGGAUGAUCAGUCACACUGGAACUGAGACACGGUCCAGACUCCUACGGGAGGCAGCAGUGGGGAAUAUUGGACAAUGGGCGAAAGCCUGAUCCAGCCAUGCCGCGUGUGUGAAGAAGGUCUUCGGAUUGUAAAGCACUUUAAGUUGGGAGGAAGGGCAGUAAGUUAAUACCUUGCUGUUUUGACGUUACCAACAGAAUAAGCACCGGCUAACUUCGUG